RNAcentral lists this long non-coding RNA (1199 nucleotides) under Sus scrofa (pig). Its description in RNAcentral is "lncRNA (ENSSSCG00015014966.1)". The record is from RNAcentral. Lineage: Eukaryota; Metazoa; Chordata; Mammalia; Artiodactyla; Suidae.
AUACAAUGACUGAAAUAAAAAAUUCACUAGAAGCAACCAACAGCAGAAUACAGGAGGCAGAAGAAUGAAUAAGUGAGGUGGAGGACAGAUUAGUGGAAAUUAUGGAUCCGAAACAGAAAAGAGAAAAAAGAUUGAAAACAAAUGAAGAGAGUCUCAGAGAACUCUGGGACAAUGUGAAACGCAACAACAUCCGUAUUAUAGGGGUGCCAGAAGGAGGAGAGAGAGAAGGGGCCAGAAAAAAUAUUCGAAGAGAUAAUAGCCAAAAACUUCCCUAACAUGGGAAAGGAACCCAUCACUAAAAUCUAGGAAGUGCAAUGAGUGCCAUAUAAAAUAAACCCAAGGAGGAAUACCCCAAGACACAUAUUAAUCAAACUUAUUGAAAUUAAAGCCAAAGUAUUGAAAGCAGCUAGGGAGAAGAAAUGACAUACAAGGGAACCCCGAUAAGGUUAUAGGCUGAUUUUUCAGCAGAAACUCUGCAGGCCAGAAGGGAGUGGCAUGAUAUACUUAACGUGAUGAAAGGAAAAAACCUCCAACCAAGAUUCCUUGACCCAGCAAGGCUCUCAUUCAGUUUUGAAGGAGAAAUCAAAAGCUUCACAGAUAAGCAAAAGCUAAGAGAAUUCAGCAACACUAAACCAGCUUUACAACAAAUACUAAAGGGACUUCACUAGGCAGAAAUAAAAAGGCUACAACCAGAAACAAAAAUACCGCAAAUGACAAGGCUCACCAGUAAAGGUAUAUAUACAGUAAAGAUAUGAAAUCAUCCGUUCACAGUUUUGCCACCAAAAUCAGAAAUCAUGAGAAGAGGUGGGUACAAAUGCAGGACACUGGAGAUGCACUUGCAAUUAAGAGACCAACAACUUAAAACAAUCUCAUAUAUAUAUGAGACUUAAAACAAUCUCAUAUAUAUACGUGUAGACUCAUAUGUAUAUAUAUGAGACUCAUGUAGUCUCAUGUAUAUAUAUAUGAAUCUCAUAUAUAGUCUCAUAUAAACUUAAAAACAAUCUCAUAUUUAUACAUAUAGACUCAUAUCAAAACUUCAGAAUAACUGCUAACCAAAAAUCUACAAUUGAUACACAAACAAAUAAGAAAAAUCAACUCAAAUACAACACUAACGAUAGUCAUCAAACCAGAAUAGGAGAGAAGAAGAGCAACAAAAACAAAUCCAAAGCAAUUAAUAAAAUGGCAAUAAGAAAAAAAAA